This 433-nucleotide ribosomal RNA is filed under the name uncultured bacterium. RNAcentral describes it as "partial 16S ribosomal RNA". It matches the Rfam family "Bacterial small subunit ribosomal RNA", at positions 29 to 507 of the family's 1533-position model. The record is from RNAcentral.
AACGAACGCUGGCGGCAUGCCUAACACAUGCAAGUCGAACGAGACCUUCGGGUCUAGUGGCGCACGGGUGCGUAACGCGUGGGAACCUGCCCUUAGGUUCGGAAUAAUUCCCCGAAAGGGGUGCUAAUACCGGAUAAUGUCUUCGGACCAAAGAUUUAUCGCCUUUGGAUGGGCCCGCGUUGGAUUAGCUAGUUGGUAGGGUAAAAGCCUACCAAGGCGACGAUCCAUAGCUGGUCUGAGAGGAUGAUCAGCCACACUGGGACUGAGACACGGCCCAGACUCCUACGGGAGGCAGCAGUGGGGAAUAUUGGACAAUGGGCGAAAGCCUGAUCCAGCAAUGCCGCGUGAGUGAUGAAGGCCUUAGGGUUGUAAAGCUCUUUUACCCGGGAUGAUAAUGACAGUACCGGGAGAAUAAGCUCCGGCUAACUCCGUG